RNAcentral lists this ribosomal RNA (551 nucleotides) under Mini scule. RNAcentral's name for it is "partial 16S ribosomal RNA". The stretch from base 1 to 412 matches the Rfam family "Bacterial large subunit ribosomal RNA", at positions 710 to 1300 of the family's 2925-position model. Lineage: Eukaryota; Metazoa; Chordata; Amphibia; Anura; Microhylidae. The record is from RNAcentral.
ACAUCCCGAAACUAGACGAGCUACUUUUAAACAACCUAUCAGGGCCAACCCGUCUCUGUGGCAAAAGAGUGGGAAGAUUUUUAAGUAGAGGCGACACACCUACCGAGCCUAGAGAUAGCUGGUUAUUCAGGAAAAGGAUCUUAGUCCAAUUUUAAGCUUCUCCCUCCCCCCUCACCCACCCAAAUACAAAACAAGCUUAAAACCCAUUCAAACAAGGUACAGCCUGUUCGAAAAAGGAAACAGCCUACGACACAGGGUAAUGAUUUAUUCUAUGUGACCAAGUAAGCCUAAAAGCAGCUACCUUACAAAAAGCGUCCAAGCUUUAUCACUAAUCUUUACAAUCCCUCUACCCACCCACAACCCCCAACCACUACUGAACGACCCCAUACCCGUAUGGGGGACAUCAUGCUAGAACUAGUAACAAGAAGAAGACCUUCUCCAAAAUGUAAACGUAAGCCAAAAUGAACCCUCACCGGCACUCACCGCCACAAGUCUGCAGUAUCAACCCAACCCGAAAACCCUACUACACUUAGCGUCAACCUUACACCAGG